This 233-nucleotide long non-coding RNA is filed under the name Ricinus communis (castor bean). Its description in RNAcentral is "long non-coding RNA (RCOM_LNC000561)". The record is from RNAcentral. Lineage: Eukaryota; Viridiplantae; Streptophyta; Magnoliopsida; Malpighiales; Euphorbiaceae.
AAUAUAUAAAAAGAAGAAUAAGAGGGAAAGGGUGAUGAAAAGAAAGGAAGUAAGUGAGCUAAUUGUUUAAUUGCUUUUCGGAGUUUACAGUUUGACUUUAUUCCUAUUUCCUACCUUAGACUACUAUCCAUUGUUUACCCCUUGUGAUUAUUAUGACUUGUGUGCAGGUCAUGUAUUUCAUUGCAUAACACCAUAGGUUCAACUCUGACCAAAUUUACCUACCCUUACCUAAU